AGAUCAGACAUGGACUCCACCU
Molecule: microRNA, 22 nt
Filed under: Spodoptera frugiperda (fall armyworm)
Lineage: Eukaryota; Metazoa; Arthropoda; Insecta; Lepidoptera; Noctuidae
Description: sfr-miR-10487-3p
Source: miRBase by way of RNAcentral